Molecule: ribosomal RNA, 154 nt
Filed under: uncultured bacterium
Lineage: Bacteria
Description: partial 16S ribosomal RNA
Rfam family: Bacterial small subunit ribosomal RNA
Source: RNAcentral
AUCAGCAUGCCGCGGUGAAUACGUUCCCGGGCCUUGUACACACCGCCCGUCACACCAUGAGAGUCGGGAACACCCGAAGUCCGUAGUCUAACAGCAAUGGGGGCGCGGCCGAAGGUGGGUUCGAUAAAUUGGGGUGAAGUCGUAACAAGGUAUC